GUCUCUGUGGAGCAACAGGUCAGCACAUUCAGCUGUUAGCAGAGAGGUUGGUGGUUCAAACCCCCCCAGAGAUG
This is a non-coding RNA of Tetraodon nigroviridis (spotted green pufferfish), 74 nucleotides long. NCBI's taxonomy places the organism in Eukaryota, Metazoa, Chordata, Actinopteri, Tetraodontiformes, Tetraodontidae. The record is from Rfam.